Molecule: transfer RNA, 72 nt
Filed under: Camelus bactrianus (Bactrian camel)
Lineage: Eukaryota; Metazoa; Chordata; Mammalia; Artiodactyla; Camelidae
Also listed under: 2 other names
Rfam family: tRNA
About the family: Transfer RNA (tRNA) molecules are approximately 80 nucleotides in length.
Source: Rfam by way of RNAcentral
GAGGGUAUAGCUCAGGGAUAGAGCACGUGCUUAGCAUGCAGGAGGUCCUGAGUUCAAUCCCCAGUACCCCCU